AAGAACGAACGCUGGCGGCGCGUCUUAAGCAUGCAAGUCGAACGGCAAGAGGUAGCAAUACCUCCUAGAGUGGCGGACUGGUGAGUAACACGUGGGUGACAUACCCUUCAGAUGGGGAUAGCUAUUAGAAAUAGUAGAUAAUACCGAAUACGAGCACGAGGGGUUAGAGAUCUGUGAGGAAAGGAGCUAAGGCUCCGCUGAAGGAAUGGCCUGCGGCCCAUUAGCUAGUUGGUGAGGUAAGAGCCCACCAAGGCGAUGAUGGGUAUCCGGCCUUAGAGGGUGAACGGACACAUUGGGACUGAGAUACGGCCCAGACUCCUACGGGAGGCAGCAGCUAAGAAUAUUCCGCAAUGGACGAAAGUCUGACGGAGCGACGCCGCGUGGAUGAAGAAGGCCGGAAGGUUGUAAAAUCCUUUUGAAACUGAAGAAUAAGCGUUGUAGGGAAUGACAGCGUGGUGACAGUAGGUUUUGAAUAAGCAACGGCUAAUUACGUGCCAGCAGCGGC
This 505-nucleotide ribosomal RNA is filed under the name uncultured bacterium. RNAcentral describes it as "bacterial SSU rRNA". It matches the Rfam family "Bacterial small subunit ribosomal RNA", at positions 26 to 518 of the family's 1533-position model. The record is from RNAcentral.